UGGUUGAAUUUGUUAAUGAUUCUAGAUCACAGCCUCUUCAGAUAUUGGCCUCUUCAGAAAUGCUUGGCAGUGGAAUUGCCAUCUACCUUGAAUGCCAGGUUGGAAUCUGCCCAGACUCUCAAUAAGAGAGCACUUCCAAACACUCUGCCCAGGCUCCCUUAUCUAAGAUCCUCUCUUCAAAAAGUGGGUAGAAGGUGGGGAGAUGGGGGAGGCAGGGAGUGGGGAAGGGUAGUGGUGGGGCGUUUGCCACUGCUGAACUUCAACUUUCCCGCUUGACUAUCUUCUUCUCCCACAGAGAAGAAAGAAAGAAUUGCGACUGAAGUUUCAAGAUACCCUAAGUUUUCCUUCUCUAGUCUGUAGCCUCCUUCUUGUCUCUCAGUUUGCCCCCUUCUUUCUUUUCACCAUUGCUCACACCCUUGGCUUUCCUGUUUCUGUUUUUUUUUUUUUUUUUUUUUUUUUUUGUCCUUAGAUCUUAAACCACCGGGCCUCUGGAUCAAAUGGCAGACUCCUUUAGAGGAAAAUGGGAUAUUUGUUCUGGGACCAGAGAGGUAACCUGCAGGCUCUAAUAGUUGCUGAGGAAAAGGAGCAACAUGUUCACCUGGAUGAUUCCAAAUGGCCUACUCUGGUUUAAGUUUAUUCUCAAGUGAGGAGCACCUCUGCCCAGCCGCCCCACCAUCUGGGAAGUGUGGAGCGCCUCUGCCUGGAGCCCAGCUGUCUGGAAAGUGAGGAGCUCCUCUGCCCGGUCGCCAACCUGUCUGGGAAGUGAGGAGCGACUCUCCUUGGUCGCCACAAUGUCUGGGAAGUGAGGAGUGUCUCUGCCUGGCCGCUCCAUUGUCUGGGAAGCGAGGAGCGCCUCUGCCUGGCCGCCCCACUGUCUGGGAAGCGAGGAGCGCCUCUGCCUGGCCGCCCCACUGUCUGGGAAGUGAGGAGCGCCUCUGCCUGAUCGCCCCACCAUCGGGGAAGUGAAAAGCCCCUCCCCCUGGCCCGCGCCUCCCGCCAGCCGCAGCACCAUCUGAGAAGUGAGGAGAGCCUUUGCCCGGCUGCUGUGCAACCCUCCAAGUGUGAAGUGGCAGCCCUGUGUGUGAUCUUUCUGCCCUCCCCAAGUUUGCAUUUUCAAUAUUAAAGUUUACUUUUAAAUUAGAAGUUUUAAAUUGCAGAAUUAUAUUUUUAGAAAAGUUUAUUCUCUUGAUUCAUAACUUUGAAAUAUCUAGACGUAUGGUACAUGUCACGCCAUUUCUGCUCUUUCCUGCACCUCCCAAAUGUUUUAGUUGUAGCCAAAGUACACAAAUCUAAGAAGAUCCAAAUGAUCAUCCUCACAUUGACGGGUUCCUAGGCAGAGUAGGACUUUGGAAGACAGAUGGGUUUGUCUACAGCCCACCUAUCCAAUGUGUAAUAAAAAGAAGAACAUAUACUUCAUAACUUGAAAAGGGGUGUUACAAAGGAAAAUGUGGAUUCUAGAAGGGAGAGCAAAAACAAAUCAAGAACCAAUCAUUAUGCAAUUUGACAAGUGCUACGACAGAGGUGUAAGUAGAAUACGUGUUAGCCCAGAGGAGUCAGAGAGUACCUCAGCAGGGAAGUUUCCACAGCGAAAGCUGGAUGAGAAGGGGUUUUUAGAAAGUGGCCAUUUCGACCAGGUGCAGUGGCUCAUGCCUGUAAUCCCAGCCCUUUGGAAGGCCAAGGUGGGUGGAUCCCCUGAAAUCGGGAGUUUGAGACCAG
RNAcentral lists this long non-coding RNA (1716 nucleotides) under Homo sapiens (human). Its description in RNAcentral is "HSALNT0021368". Lineage: Eukaryota; Metazoa; Chordata; Mammalia; Primates; Hominidae. The record is from RNAcentral.